Long non-coding RNA from Leptopilina boulardi, 2519 nucleotides. RefSeq lists it as uncharacterized. The transcript has 5 exons. NCBI's taxonomy places the organism in Eukaryota, Metazoa, Arthropoda, Insecta, Hymenoptera, Figitidae. The record is from RefSeq and is a predicted model, not a curated record.
UUGCAGUAAAUUAAAUAAUUUUUCAAUUGAAAACGACGUAGUUGAUACAGAAACUAGUAGUGGAUCUGAAAACUCCUACCUAAGUGACAGUGAAAAUUUCGAUAAGACUUCAGAUGAAGACGAAGAAAUAUUUUAAAAGAAUUUCGGAAUGAAAACAAAAGGGUUCAACAUGUGAAAUUAUCAUUUAACAUUGAUGGUUUAUCUAAUUCAAAAUCGGGAACAGAAAGUUUAUGGCUCAUUCUUUGCUCCGAAAUAAAUGACAAUAUAGUUUUUCCAGUUGGGGCCUUCUAUGGGAAAAGUAAACCUGACGACGCAAAUGAAUUCAUGAAAGAAUUUGUGAAUGAAUUCAUUUCUUUGUGUCAAAAUGGUUUGCAAGUUUUAAAUGUUACAGUAUCCUGUGAAAAAAUUAUAUGUGAUGCUCCGGCAAAAUCUUUUGCAUUCUACUUGAAGGGUCACACCGGAUACAACAGUUACUCCAAAUGUGAAAUUGGCGGGAUUUAUAUUUCACGACAUGUAAGAAAGAAAAAAAAGAAAGGAAUAGUAUGCUUUCCUACGCCCAAAAGAUUAAAAUUGAAAACAGAUGAAGGAUUCAACCGUAAUUAUUAUAAUGAUAUUGAAAAUGGGAAGGAAACAAUUUUAAAAUCAAUUCCGAAUUUCGGUUGUAUAUCAGGAGUUCCUUUGGAUUACAUGCAUCUUGUUUUAUUAGGCGUUGUAAAGAAAAUAAUUAAAUUGUGGAUAACAGGACCGUACGGAACUAAGUUACGAAGGAAUGAAAUAAACAAAAUUUCCAAGAAAUUGAAUGCUCUUCGAUACAGCGUACCAUAAGAAUUCGUAAGAAGACCUCGUUCACUAUGGAAUUAUACACAUUGGAAAGCAACAGAGUUCCGUACAUUUUUACUUUAUGCAGCGCCAGUAGUGUUGAAAAAUAUUAGACGAGAUAUAUAUGACCAUUUUAUGCUUUUACAUACUGCAAUAUCAGUUUUGGUGAGUGACAUUCACUUAGAAAUACCAAGGAAUAUAGAUGUUUGUCAUGAAUUUCUAGUGCGAUUUGUUGAAGACUUUGAAACAAUUUAUGGAAAAAAGUAUGUGUCUCAUAAUGUCCAUAAUUUGUUGCACUUGUGCAAUGAUGUUAAACAGUAUGGUCGUUUGGAUAAAUUUAGUUCAUUUAAAUUUGAAAACUAUUUAGGUUCAAUUAAAAGAUGGAUAAGAAAAAUCUUGCAAAAUAAAACAUUUAAAUUGAACUGCAACGAGCCGAAGAAUAGCUAAGUCCUAUUAAAAAAUGGAGUAUUCGGUCAAGUUCUCAACAUUAUCGAUUGCAACAACGAAAUAUAACUAAUAAUAAAAAAAAUUAAUUGUGUUGCUCCGCUUUACGAUAACCCGGAUUCUAGAUGUAUCAAUAUUUAUAAGGGAAUUCUUCCCGAGGAAGCCGAAUUCUUAGUUCCAUUAACGAAUGUCUUAUCUAAAGUUUGGAGAAUCCCAUCUAGUAGAGGGAUGACACUGCUUCCUUUGCAACACACUGUUUAAGAAUACGUAUUUUAUUGUACGUUUUGAAAAUAAGACAAAUAAUAAGCUGAAAUUAAUUUCUGUAUUUUAUAUUUUUAACUAAAAAAAUGAAAACAUAUUAUUAAUGUAAAAAAAAGUUGCAGAAAAAAUAAGUUUAGAAGGCGUUUAAUUUUUUGAGAAAAAAAAUUACCUAUGUACGAAAGAAGAAAGAAAGAAAUAUGCUUAACUACCAGAUGAAACUCUUAAAAAAAGGCUGGAACAAAAAACCCUAAAAAGGUACGGAGUACGAUAAAACUUUUAAAGUUGCUCUCAGUUUUAAGUGCGACUCAUUUCCUUAUGGACAUGUUUAUUUUAAUUUUUCGAAGCUAAUCUCGGCGAGACAGUAUUUAGAUAAUUUACUCCAAGUUUACAGUUGGAUGAAAAAUAUUUUAGUCAACUCCAUUGGAGCUUUAGUAUUUCUCAAAGACGUGGGCACACGUGGGAUAACAGACAAAAAAGAAAUUUUGGAGUUUUUGCACAUUCACAGAUAUUUAUUGAUUCGUCAAAUAAUUUGGCUCUUAAGGAGAAACACAAAAUUAUCAAAGCGGAUAAAAUAAUUAAUGUCAAGAGACAUUAUUUAAGUGACGAGUCAAUUACAAUUUCGAAACAGUAUUACAGAAUUAUUUGUUGUUAAAAAAACUUUUUGGAUGUAAAUUAGCAUUUUAAAUGCAAUGACUAAAUUAAUUCAUCAAUCCGAAUGGAGGAAAUCACUUGUAUUUAUGAUCAAGGAAAAUUGCAUUGAAGAUUUUGGCGAUACUUUGAUAAUGGGACCUAAUAAAAAAUUACAAACAUUAUUGUAUAAUCUCAUUUUACAAUAUGUAGCAGCUGUCAAUCUUACCUGUAAUACUAUUUUAAAGAUUCGUCAAAUGGCAUUCCAAAGGUCGAAAGGCUAUAUGGAGUUUUGUUUUUUUUUUCUUUAAAUUAGGCCUUUUUUAAUUUUGCAUUUUAAACGCAAAUAAAUAAAUUAUGAAAAAAAA